Cottoperca gobio is the source of this 1107-nucleotide long non-coding RNA. NCBI's taxonomy places the organism in Eukaryota, Metazoa, Chordata, Actinopteri, Perciformes, Bovichtidae. The record is from Ensembl.
GUGUACCAUGGCUGUGUAGGGACAUAUAACAUAUUGUUGUUGUUUUGUCACUUUGAAAUAACUUAAAACAUUUAAAUGUAAAGUGAUACAGUGUAUACGAAGGCAUCAUUGGUAAUUACAGAGCUGAAUAUUUAGUAAAUAGUCUCUUUCCCUCCAGCUAAGUUUGAUUUAAACUUUAUUAACUGUCACAAGUUUUUUCAGCAGCAAAAUGUGAAGUUUUUCUUAUUUUGUGAAGUCUAAAUAAUCCGAUUUAUUCAAAUCUCAUUUGAUUCCAAGUUACUCAAACCCACGCACCCCUCACGCUCCAAAGCGUGUCCACAACUUGUUCCCAUCCCACAAUGCAUUGCUGCAUAUUUGAUGCCCUCUUCAGUUCAGUGAGAGUGCACAAUGGUAGCUAAAGAUUGAAAGGUGUCCACACUGUUAAUGUGGGACUAUAAACUAUUGAGUGUAGCAGGGAAUAGUUAAUGAGAAGUAAGAAGUGAUUUCGUUUCAAACAGCAGCCAUGGAGCUGACUGCAGCCGGAGCUCCAGGUGAGUUUAAUUAACAGAAAGCUACAUGUGUUCAGCGACAGACACAACAGUAAAACCCUGUCCUUCAGCCAUGGAGGAGAAUUUAAAAAAAGUCAUCUUGUUGGGGGGGGGGGACUCUCAACCCUGUAGCUGACGCCUACAGGCGGUCCGCGGACCCCACUUUGGGAAACAUCCCACUCUGUUUUUUGGGAGAAGAAGCCGCCCACGUGACAGGGGCAGCAGCAGCCAGCACACCGCCGCUGCUCGUUUGACAGCUUGCACGGCGCCGCGCGGAGAAGAAGCGAGCCGGGCGGAGAGACGGAGACUCUCGUCGAGGGAAACCGAAUAAAAGACUCCGUUUGCAGCACAAGAACUCCGCAGACUCCUCCGACCAGACGGCAGCCGGCACGCACACCAUGGACGGUUAUGCCCGGACCGAAGAUGAGCUGUUCUCCUCCUGCCUCCUGAACCUCACCUGGGAGAAUUGCUACGAGCAGACGUGCUCCUACAUCGCCCUGGAGCUCGCCGCACGCGCCCAGAUGGACCCCUGCCAGGAGAAAAACAAACCACACCAUGCUUUUAUCUCCCCACCUUCUCU